Molecule: ribosomal RNA, 378 nt
Filed under: Providencia rettgeri
Lineage: Bacteria; Pseudomonadati; Pseudomonadota; Gammaproteobacteria; Enterobacterales; Morganellaceae
Description: bacterial SSU rRNA
Rfam family: Bacterial small subunit ribosomal RNA
Source: RNAcentral
UGAUAAACCGGAGGAAGGUGGGGAUGACGUCAAGUCAUCAUGGCCCUUACGAGUAGGGCUACACACGUGCUACAAUGGCGUAUACAAAGAGAAGCGACCUCGCGAGAGCAAGCGGAACUCAUAAAGUGCGUCGUAGUCCGGAUUGGAGUCUGCAACUCGACUCCAUGAAGUCGGAAUCGCUAGUAAUCGUAGAUCAGAAUGCUACGGUGAAUACGUUCCCGGGCCUUGUACACACCGCCCGUCACACCAUGGGAGUGGGUUGCAAAAGAAGUAGGUAGCUUAACCUUCGGGAGGGCGCUUACCACUUUGUGAUUCAUGACUGGGGUGAAGUCGUAACAAGGUAACCGUAGGGGAACCUGCGGUUGGAUCACCUCCUUA